RNAcentral lists this long non-coding RNA (591 nucleotides) under Heterocephalus glaber (naked mole-rat). RNAcentral describes it as "lncRNA (ENSHGLG00100050000.1)". Lineage: Eukaryota; Metazoa; Chordata; Mammalia; Rodentia; Bathyergidae. The record is from RNAcentral.
UACGUUCUUUGUUAAAGAUGCACACACACACAAAAAGAUCCCAUUGAGCCAAUAUAGGCAGCAGUGAUUCCAUUAGUGAUCGUGAAAGUCUUGCUACGCUAUAAUUCUCUCUCUUGUCUCCCUCACAGCAGCUAUGGAAGUUUUCAAAAUGAGAAGUUCAAACCACAUAGUGCUUCUACCUAGGAGGCUUCUGUGCUUCCUGGCUACUAAAGACAUUUGCACUUGAAUUAAAAAAAAUCCAAAAGGAUACUUUUCCAAAAGUGAAGAGAGUUUCUGUGGAUCACACCCAAGGAAGUCACUGACAUAGACAGUUUAUUUUCUAUAAACUGCUCUGUGAACUGUGGAUGAAAAAUCCUUGGUUACAUCACCACUUUACAGUCAAUGACCAUGCUGGAAUAUCACAUUAUUCUCCUCUUUCCUGAGCAUCCCACCCUGCCUUCAUGGAACCAGUCUUUUUGGAUGUCAAAUGUUUUCACUUCAUAAAGGAUCACUUAAUGCCACAUCCUCUGACUUCUGAGAGGAAAAAAAGGAAAGCUAGAAGGAAAGCCAGAAGAGAUGCUUGAUCUUCUCCCUCUCCAAAUGCACCCUGGG